AGAGCGAACGCUGGCGGCAGGCCUAAAACAUGCAAGUCGAACGGACCCUUCGGGGUUAGUGGCGGACGGGUGAGUAACACGUGGGAACGUGCCUUUUGGUUCAGAACAACUCAGGGAAACUUGAGCUAAUACUGAAUAAGCCCUACGGGGGAAAGAUUUAUCGCCAUUAGAGCGGCCCGCGUUGGAUUAGCUAGUUGGUGAGGUAAAGGCUCACCAAGGCUACGAUCCAUAGCUGGUCUGAGAGGAUGAUCAGCCACACUGGGACUGAGACACGGCCCAGACUCCUACGGGAGGCAGCAGUUAGGAAUCUUGCGCAAUGGGCGAAAGCCUGACGCAGCCAUGCCGCGUGAAUGAUGAAGGUCUUAGGAUUGUAAAAUUCUUUCAGUGGGGAAGAUAAUGACUGUACCCACAGAAGAAGCUCCGGCUAACUUCGUGCCAGCAGCCGC
RNAcentral lists this ribosomal RNA (446 nucleotides) under uncultured bacterium. RNAcentral's name for it is "SSU rRNA". It matches the Rfam family "Bacterial small subunit ribosomal RNA", at positions 26 to 518 of the family's 1533-position model. The record is from RNAcentral.